CAGAGCUGAAAGCAAUUUGAGCUCUCUGUCUUGUUCAUCAUUCCGUCUCGAUGAUAAUAUCAAUACAAUCCGGUCAUUUUUGUGCGAAGGAACGAACUCCUUCUCCAGGUAGACGAAGUAAAUACUCGGGGCAAUCGGUGAGACCACUUCCUGUACGUAUAUUAACAGUAGGGAAAAGGAGAUCACCAGGGGUUCAACUCUUGGUUGAAGAGUACAAAGAGAAGCUCAAGCAUUAUUGCAGUGUCGAGGAUGUUCAAAUACGAUCCAAUCCUAAAAAUACUUCCAAUGUGAAGGCCCAAAUUGAAGGGGAAGAUAUGGUUGCCAUGCAAAACAUCAGGUCUGAAGAUUGGGUUAUCUUGUUGGAUGAGCAUGGAUCAGACAUUGGAUCCGAGCAAAUGGCUGACUUGGUGGGAGAUGCAGGGAAUACAGGAUCAUCAACAAUAGCAUUUUGCAUUGGUGGACCUUAUGGUCAUGGGCAGCAACUGCGUCAUCGUGCUAAUGUAACAAUCAAGCUGUCAUCUUUGGUUUUAAAUCAUCAAAUUGCACUACUAGUGCUUCUCGAACAACUUUAUAGAGCAUGGACAAUUAUUAAAGGGCAGAAAUACCACCACUAGAGCUUCUUGCCUCAUCCCCUCCCAAUAAACUACAUAUGUAGGCUUCCGCUUUGACAUUGGCACAGACAUAAACGACAACAGGGAAUGAAAUAUGGAGAUGAGAUGAAAGCAUCAAUGCAGGAUUGGAG
This is an RNA transcript of Nelumbo nucifera (sacred lotus), 742 nucleotides long. It is a transcript of the gene named methyltransferase, with no coding region annotated. NCBI's taxonomy places the organism in Eukaryota, Viridiplantae, Streptophyta, Magnoliopsida, Proteales, Nelumbonaceae. The record is from RefSeq and is a predicted model, not a curated record.